This is a non-coding RNA of Pelobates cultripes (western spadefoot toad), 85 nucleotides long. The record is from the annotation of a GenBank genome assembly. Lineage: Eukaryota; Metazoa; Chordata; Amphibia; Anura; Pelobatidae.
CCCCAGAUGUUGCUGAACUACAACUCCCAUGGCUAUCUAUGUAAUUCAAAGAAUCAUGGGACUUGUAGUUCAGCAACAUCUGGGG